AAGAAGCUGACAUGAGCCCUUGUUUCCAGUAUGUGAGUCAUCAUUGCCACCAAUGGUCUGGGUCGUUGGCUGUGCACACACAUCCACAGACAGUACAACAACAGCCUCUAGUCCCUUGUUGCUGACCUUUGGGAAGCUGGGCAUGUAAGGGAAUAUAUGCACCACAUGAGUGAGUACCUACUGCCCACAGAGGGCACCAGAGUUUGAGAUGUCUCGGAACUGGAGUUACAGACACUUGUGAACCAUCCGGUAGGUGCUGCAUAUCAACCCUAGAUCCUCUGGAAGACAUCCAGAGAAAUUAAAGAAUGAACCCUAUCUUCAGACUCUAGUUUAUAUUUUGUUAUUUUAAAACUUUCUUUGAGAUGUCUUAGAAAAAGCUGCAUUAUAUCUGUAGAUAAUUUCGGCUCUAUCAGUUGGGUUGAGGUUUCUUGAGUGUCAGUUAUAAAAAUAUAAAUUAGAUCACAGGGUGAGAGACUCUUUCUCCUCUCAUAUCCCCUUCAAUGCCCUGUCUUUCUGUCUUAUUUGGGACAAGCAGACAUCCCCAUGCACAACUAUAAAUAUAGACAAGUUGUUAGUCACAGGAUACAAAAGUCAACCCAAAAUGAACAAAUGAUCUACACAGGACUAGAGAGACAUCUUCGAGGUUAGGAGUGCCUUUGGCUAUUGCAGAUGACCUGACUUCAGUUUCAGGCACCUGUAUGGGGGCCCAAAGUUGCCUAUAAGUCCAGAUCCAGAGGAACUGACAGUCUUUUCUGGUCUCGGUGGGCAACUGAACUCAAACGUACAUAUGGCACACACAGACAUACAGGCAGACACUCAGUAAAUAGUGAAAAUAAUCUAAAAGGUAAUUGAUCCAAAAUACAACCUAAAUAUGAAUCAUGUAGCAGAAAACAAUUGAAUGAAUUAUAGAUAAACUUCUUAGAUAUGACAAACCCCCUUUCAUUAAAUGAACAACUGAAUUGUUAAGAACUCCAUAAAGUGAGAAUAUGUCCACUCUACCAAAUAUAUGUUAGAAACAUAUUUUUCUUACCUGGGAAAAUGAAUGUUGGAAAUUGUGUAUCAGAUGACAGUCUUCUUGUUUCCAGAAUGCAUAAAACCUCAAAAAGAGUCACUGAGAAAAUAGACAAUUCAGGAAAUUAAAGUUGGCCAGAAGGGUGAGUAGAUGCUCCACUAAGAGAAACAUACAGCAGCAACAUCCUUAACACUUAAGGAAGAGAGACAGAUGACUCUGAGGGGACUGUCGACACCCCCAUAAAAUACUCAGAAAUAAAGACUUGUCAUACAAAGACCUGGCAGGUUGUGGAGGAUGAAACUCUCAUACCCACUGCUGGUGGCCAUGGAAAACAGGACAGAGACUUGGAAAAGUAUUUCCCAAUGUCUUCAUAUGUUAAUUGUCAUCUGGCCAUCACAUUCCCAAAUAUAUAACCUGGAGAAAGAGGACAUAUUUUCUUUUAAUGAUUUAUUUAUUUCAGUUCACACCAGCUUUAUAUACAAGACACUGAAAUUGAAAACAACCUAAACAAUAGCCAACAGGUAAAAGACUCAUUUCCCAAAACUGGCAUGGCGCUCCCUACUGUCUGUAACUAUGGUGCCAAGGGAUCCAAUGCCCUCUCUUGGCCUCCACAGGCACCAGAAAUACAUUUGCUCUUCAUACCUAUAUGUAGGCGAGCAUAUACACACAUGAAAUAAAACUAAAUUAUCAAAGUUUCAGCGUAGCUAUACAUUGCGACACCAUUUAAUAGUAAGAAUGAACAAUGAUCAUGGGCAACAAAAUAGAUAAAUUUAAACAUAUAUUCAAGAUGAAUGAAGGCCAGAUGUCUCUGAACUCUGGUUCUAUCCUAAUACAUUCCAGCAUAUAUAAAUUUAUCUAUAAUAUCAGAUUGUUGUAUUUUCCUGCAGACAGGAUAGGGCAGUGGUUGGGAUUGAGAACCUAAGGAACAUAGAAAUGAAACUUUAUGGAUUGGUAAAUAAUAAUGAAACUUAUACCUACCUGAGUAUAAGAAGAUGUCUAUUGUCAUUAU
Molecule: long non-coding RNA, 2021 nt
Organism: Microtus oregoni (creeping vole)
Lineage: Eukaryota; Metazoa; Chordata; Mammalia; Rodentia; Cricetidae
Exons: 3
Source: RefSeq, a predicted model, not a curated record